UCGAGAGUUUGAUCCUGGCUCAGAUUGAACGCUGGCGGAAUGCUUUACACAUGCAAGUCGAACGGUAGAGGGGGCAACCCCUUGAGAGUGGCGAACGGGUGAGUAAUAUAUCGGAACGUGCCCAGUCGUGGGGGAUAACGUAGCGAAAGUUACGCUAAUACCGCAUACGAUCUAAGGAUGAAAGCGGGGGAUCGCAAGACCUCGCGCGAUUGGAGCGGCCGAUAUCUGAUUAGCUAGUUGGUGAGGUAAAGGCUCACCAAGGCGACGAUCAGUAGCUGGUUUGAGAGAACGACCAGCCACACUGGAACUGAGACACGGUCCAGACUCCUACGGGAGGCAGCAGUGGGGAAUAUUGGACAAUGGGGCGCAAGCCUGAACCAGCCCAUGCCGCGUGCAGGAAGACGGUCCUAUGGAUUGU
RNAcentral lists this ribosomal RNA (418 nucleotides) under uncultured Limnohabitans sp. RNAcentral's name for it is "bacterial SSU rRNA". It matches the Rfam family "Bacterial small subunit ribosomal RNA", at positions 1 to 426 of the family's 1533-position model. Lineage: Bacteria; Pseudomonadati; Pseudomonadota; Betaproteobacteria; Burkholderiales; Comamonadaceae. The record is from RNAcentral.